GGAGGAAAAGAAAAUAACAAUGAUUUCCCUAGUAACGGCGAGUGAAGAGGAAAGAGCUCAAAGUUGGAACCUGUUUGGCCUAGCUAAACUGGAUUGUAAACUGUAGAAGUGUUUUCCAGGCAAUCCGAAUUGAAAAGUCCUUUGGAACAGGGCAUCAUAGAGGGUGAGAAUCCCGUCUUUGAUUCGAGAUAAUUUUGUCUUUAUGCGAUACACUUUCAAAGAGUCAGGUUGUUUGGGAAUGCAGCCUAAAUUGGGUGGUAAAUCUCACCUAAAGCUAAAUAUUGGCGAGAAACCGAUAGCGAACAAGUACCGUGAGGGAAAGAUGAAAAGAACUUUGAAAAGAGAGUUAAACAGUAUGUGAAAUUGUUAAAAGGGAACCGUUUGGAGCCAGAUUGGCUUGUCUGUAAUCAUUCUAGGCUUCGUGCCUGGAUGCACUUGCAGGCUUGAUGCCUGCCAACGACAAUUUUGUUUGGGUGUAAAAACUAUUGGAAAUGUGGCCAAUAUUUAUUUAUUGGUGUUAUAGUCCUUUAGAAAAUAGCCUGGAUGGGAUUGAGGAACG
RNAcentral lists this ribosomal RNA (559 nucleotides) under Rhizopus stolonifer. RNAcentral describes it as "eukaryotic LSU rRNA". It matches the Rfam family "Eukaryotic large subunit ribosomal RNA", at positions 52 to 609 of the family's 3401-position model. Lineage: Eukaryota; Fungi; Mucoromycota; Mucoromycetes; Mucorales; Rhizopodaceae. The record is from RNAcentral.